GGCCUCGUAGCUCAGUUGGCUAGAGUAUUGGUUGUACUAAAGCCUUCCCCUUGCUGGCUUGGGUUCGAAUCCUACCGAGGCCA
RNAcentral lists this transfer RNA (83 nucleotides) under Schistocephalus solidus. It matches the Rfam family "tRNA". From Rfam's summary of the family: Transfer RNA (tRNA) molecules are approximately 80 nucleotides in length. Their secondary structure includes four short double-helical elements and three loops (D, anti-codon, and T loops). Lineage: Eukaryota; Metazoa; Platyhelminthes; Cestoda; Diphyllobothriidea; Diphyllobothriidae. The record is from Rfam by way of RNAcentral.